UACGAAGGGGGCUAGCGUUGUUCGGAAUUACUGGGCGUAAAGCGUGCGCAGGCGGUUUUGUAAGCCGGAUGUGAAAUCCCCGGGCUUAACCUGGGAAUGGCAUUCGGGACUGCAAGGCUGGAGUGCGGCAGAGGAGACUGGAAUUCCUGGUGUAGCAGUGAAAUGCGUAGAUAUCAGGAGGAACACCGAUGGCGAAGGCAGGUCCCUGGGCUGACACUGACGCUCAUGCACGAAAGCGUGGGGAGCAAACAGG
This 253-nucleotide ribosomal RNA is filed under the name uncultured bacterium. RNAcentral describes it as "partial 16S ribosomal RNA". It matches the Rfam family "Bacterial small subunit ribosomal RNA", at positions 524 to 776 of the family's 1533-position model. The record is from RNAcentral.